Molecule: transfer RNA, 67 nt
Filed under: Austinograea rodriguezensis
Lineage: Eukaryota; Metazoa; Arthropoda; Malacostraca; Decapoda; Bythograeidae
Description: tRNA-Asn
Source: RNAcentral
UUGAUAGAAACCAAACUAGAGGUAUGUCACUGUUAAUGACAAAAUUGAAUUUAUUUUUCCUAUCAAG